This 66-nucleotide transfer RNA is filed under the name Myiodactylus osmyloides. Its description in RNAcentral is "tRNA-Asp". Lineage: Eukaryota; Metazoa; Arthropoda; Insecta; Neuroptera; Nymphidae. The record is from RNAcentral.
AAAAAGUUAGUUAAUUUAUAACAUAAAUAUGUCAUAUUUAAAUUAUUAGUACACUAAUACUUUUUG